Molecule: ribosomal RNA, 379 nt
Filed under: uncultured bacterium
Lineage: Bacteria
Description: bacterial SSU rRNA
Rfam family: Bacterial small subunit ribosomal RNA
Source: RNAcentral
GAUGAACGCUAGCGGCAAGGCCUAAUACAUGCAAGUCGAGCGGCAAGUCGAGGAGUAAUCUAAGACCUAGAGCGGCGCACGGGUGCGUAACGCGUAUGCAACCUACCUUAUACUGGGGGAUAGCCCGGAGAAAUCUGGAAUUAAUACCCCAUGGCACAUAUUGAUGGCAUCUGAGAUAUGUUAAAGAUUUAUGGUAUAAGAUGGGCAUGCGUCUGAUUAGCUAGUUGGCGGUGUAACGGACCACCAAGGCGACGAUCAGUAGGGGUUCUGAGAGGAAGGUCCCCCACACUGGCACUGAGAUACGGGCCAGACUCCUACGGGAGGCAGCAGUAGGGAAUAUUGGGGCAAAUGGUCGGAAGACUGACCCAGCCAUGCCGCG